AACAUCGCGCACCUGCGGGAACCUGCGGAGGGAUCAUUACUGAACGAGUUCGUGCGCUGGCAGCACUGCCGGUGGAUAUGUACAGUGGCGGGGACAAGCUGGUCCCCGGAGGUGGUUCGACGCUUUUCCGUCGCGUACAUAUAUGCCCAGGCGAACAAAAUACACGUGUCAAGCUUACGUCGAACAGCGCUGAGCGCAGCUGAUUGGAGAGAUGGCCCUGUUGACGGUGCUGUGCGUCCC
RNAcentral lists this unclassified non-coding RNA (240 nucleotides) under soil metagenome. RNAcentral describes it as "partial contains 5.8S ribosomal RNA, internal transcribed spacer 2, and large subunit ribosomal RNA". The record is from RNAcentral.